This 589-nucleotide ribosomal RNA is filed under the name uncultured bacterium. Its description in RNAcentral is "partial 16S ribosomal RNA". It matches the Rfam family "Bacterial small subunit ribosomal RNA", at positions 355 to 1375 of the family's 1533-position model. The record is from RNAcentral.
UGGGGAAUAUUGGACAAUGGGCGCAAGCCUGAUCCAGCAAUGCCGCGUGUGUGAAGAAGGCCUUCGGGUUGUAAAGCACUUUUAUCAGGAGCGAAACGCUGUCGGCUAAUACCCGGCGGAACUGACGGUACCUGAGGAAUAAGCACCGGCUAACUUCGUGCCAGCAGCCGCGGUAAUACGAAGGGUGCAAGCGUUAAUCGGAAUUACUGGGCGUAAAGCGUGCGUAGGCGGUUUCUUAAGUCUGCUGUGAAAUCCCCGGGCUCAACCUGGGAAUGGCAGUGGAUACUGGGAGGCUAGAGUGUGUCAGAGGGUGGUGGAAUUCCCGGUGUAGCGGUGAAAUGCGUAGAGUCGGGAGGAACAUCAGUGGCGAAAGGCGGCCACCUGGGACAACACUGACGCUGAGGCACGAAAGCGUGGGGAGCAAACAGGAUUAGAUACCCUGGUAGUCCACGCCCUAAAACGAUGCGAACUGGAUGUUGGUCUCAACUCGGAGAUCAGUGUCGAAGCUAACGCGUUAAGUUCGCCGCCUGGGGGAGUACGGUCGUAAGACUGAAACUUAAAUGAAUUGACGGGGUCAUAGCUGUUUCCU